RNAcentral lists this ribosomal RNA (169 nucleotides) under uncultured bacterium. RNAcentral's name for it is "partial 16S ribosomal RNA". It matches the Rfam family "Bacterial small subunit ribosomal RNA", at positions 185 to 353 of the family's 1533-position model. The record is from RNAcentral.
ACCGCAUGGUUUCGAUUAUUAAAGGAUUCCGGUAAAGGAUGGGGAUGCGUUCCAUUAGGUUGUUGGUGAGGUAACGGCUCACCAAGCCUUCGAUGGAUAGGGGUUCUGAGAGGAAGGUCCCCCACAUUGGAACUGAGACACGGUCCAAACUCCUACGGGAGGCAGCAUG